GUCAAAUGAUGAAAAUAGGUACGCCUUAGACACAUGUUUUUUAUAUUAUUGUCUGAAAUCUUGGUGAUCACACUGAGACUGUGUGGUCGCUGUAAGGCCGGACAUAGAUCACUGAUUGGCCCCUUGGGAGGGUGUGGCCCCUACGUAGAGAUGUUGAUUAGGGCCUGCUUUCUUGGGCUGAUCGAACAGAACCUGGAUCUUCCCAAGUUCAUUUCGGGCCAGGGUGGGGUUUAAUGAGGUUUUUGUGUCUUUGAUGAAGUAUUUAGUAAUCUGAUGACA
Mya arenaria is the source of this 279-nucleotide small nucleolar RNA. The record is from RefSeq and is a predicted model, not a curated record. NCBI's taxonomy places the organism in Eukaryota, Metazoa, Mollusca, Bivalvia, Myida, Myidae.